This 563-nucleotide ribosomal RNA is filed under the name uncultured bacterium. RNAcentral describes it as "bacterial SSU rRNA". It matches the Rfam family "Bacterial small subunit ribosomal RNA", at positions 338 to 916 of the family's 1533-position model. The record is from RNAcentral.
CCUACGGGAGGCAGCAGUGGGGAAUAUUGCGCAAUGGGGGGAACCCUGACGCAGCAACGCCGCGUGAGCGACGAAGGCCUUCGGGUCGUAAAGCUCUGUCAUAGGGGACGAAACAAGACUGUACCCUAAGAGGAAGCCCCGGCUAACUACGUGCCAGCAGCCGCGGUAACACGUAGGGGGCAAACGUUGUCCGGAAUUACUGGGCGUAAAGCGCGCGUAGGCGGUCAAUUAAGUCAGGUGUGAAAGGCCCGGGCUUAACCCGGGUAUUGCACUUGAAACUGAUUGACUUGAGGACAGGCGAGGGAAGUGGAAUUCCUAGUGUAGCGGUGAAAUGCGUAGAUAUUAGGAAGAACACCAGUGGCGAAGGCGACUUCCUGGACUGUAACUGACGCUGAGGUGCGAAAGCGUGGGUAGCGAACAGGAUUAGAUACCCUGGUAGUCCACGCUGUAAACGAUGGAUACUAGGUGUAGGAGGUUUCAAUACCAUCUGUGCCGUAGUUAACGCAAUAAGUAUCCCGCCUGGGGAGUACGACCGCAAGGUUGAAACUCAAAUGAAUUGACGG